RNAcentral lists this ribosomal RNA (406 nucleotides) under uncultured bacterium. RNAcentral describes it as "partial 16S ribosomal RNA". It matches the Rfam family "Bacterial small subunit ribosomal RNA", at positions 29 to 526 of the family's 1533-position model. The record is from RNAcentral.
AUUGAACGCUGGCGGCAGGCCUAACACAUGCAAGUCGAGCGAGCGGCGGACGGGUGAGGAAUGUCUGGGAAACUGCCUGAUGGAGGGGGAUAACUACUGGAAACGGUAGCUAAUACCGCAUACCAUCAGAUGUGCCCAGCUGGGAUUAGCUAGUUGGUGGGGUAAUGGCUCACCUCGGCGACGAUCCCUAGCUGGUCUGAGAGGAUGACCAGCGACACGGGAACGGGAACACGGUCCAGACUCCUACGGUAGGGAGCAGUGGGGAACAGUGCACAAUGGGCGCAAGCCUGAUGCAGCCAUGCAGCGUGUGUGAAGAAGGCCCUCGGGUUGUAAAGGACUUUUGUCAGGGAAGCGGUACCUGCAGAAGAAGCACCGGCUAACUACGUGCCAGCAGCCGCGGUAAUAC